GUGGGAGCAAGGCUUGCCCGCGAUAUAGGCAACUCGGUCUAUCAGUCAAACCGAGGUGAUGCUAUCGCGGGCAAGCCUUGCUCCCAC
Molecule: unclassified non-coding RNA, 87 nt
Filed under: Pseudomonas kilonensis
Lineage: Bacteria; Pseudomonadati; Pseudomonadota; Gammaproteobacteria; Pseudomonadales; Pseudomonadaceae
Source: RNAcentral